This 495-nucleotide ribosomal RNA is filed under the name uncultured bacterium. RNAcentral describes it as "partial 16S ribosomal RNA". It matches the Rfam family "Bacterial small subunit ribosomal RNA", at positions 28 to 507 of the family's 1533-position model. The record is from RNAcentral.
GACGAACGCUGGCGGCGUGCCUAAUACAUGCAAGUAGAACGCUGAAGGAGGAGCUUGCUCUUCUGGAUGAGUUGCGAACGGGUGAGUAACGCGUAGGUAACCUGCCUGGUAGCGGGGGAUAACUAUUGGAAACGAUAGCUAAUACCGCAUAAGAGUAGAUGUUGCAUGACAUUUACUUAAAAGGUGCAAUUGCAUCACUACCAGAUGGACCUGCGUUGUAUUAGCUAGUUGGUGGGGUAACGGCUUACCAAGGCGACGAUACAUAGCCGACCUGAGAGGGUGAUCGGCCACACUGGGACUGAGACACGGCCCAGACUCCUACGGGAGGCAGCAGUAGGGAAUCUUCGGCAAUGGACGGAAGUCUGACCGAGCAACGCCGCGUGAGUGAAGAAGGUUUUCGGAUCGUAUAGCUCUGUUGUAAGAGAAGAACGAGUGUGAGAGUGGAAAGUUCACACUGUGACGGUAUCUUACCAGAAAGGGACGGCUAACUACGUG